This 145-nucleotide small RNA is filed under the name Bacilliculturomica massiliensis. RNAcentral describes it as "M-box riboswitch (ykoK leader)". It matches the Rfam family "M-box riboswitch aptamer (ykoK leader)". From Rfam's summary of the family: M-box riboswitch, also know as ykoK leader is described as a metaloregulatory RNA that sense divalent metals and function as a genetic control element of genes related to divalent metal transport in bacteria. It was first reported upstream of the B.subtilis ykoK gene and genes with related functions in other bacteria. Phylogenetic analysis of the distribution of M-box RNAs across bacterial genomes revealed that M-box riboswitches are most often employed for the regulation of Mg2+ transporter genes Lineage: Bacteria; Bacillati; Bacillota; Clostridia; Peptostreptococcales; Anaerovoracaceae. The record is from RNAcentral.
GCUCGGUAGGUGAGGCUACUAGAGGGAUACGGACUGCUGCCGCGAAGUGGUGGAGACACCAUGAGAAGGUUUGAACAGGCUAUAUCGAAUCAAGGUAUAGCAUAAUGCAGUUUCAUCGCCCUCCAGAGUCAAAGCUCAAACGGGG